UAUCGCAUUUUGCAACCGAACUCUUCAUAUGUAUGUGUGUGUUAUGACUGUAUGACUGCAGAAGAGAACUGCUCUGUUCCCACAACUCAGUUUUUCUGGGACUUGAAAACAGACGCUCAGCAGAUUUUAAAGGGGGGAAUCUUGAUCAAAUCGUGGGUUUACACACAAACAUGUAAUACAGUGCCAGAUUUUCUGGAUGUUAUAUACACAUUUGUAUUUGCAAACAUAUACCAUAUUGUUUUAAAUGAUGUAUUUUUGUGUGGGUUUUUACAUUCAGAGAAAGUUACAGUGGAUCGUGAUUUUGGAGGAGGUGAAGUCCAAUCUAAAAGAGUCCCCUCAAGUAUCAUCACCAUGGUACAGUGUCUGUGAAGAUAGUGAUGCAGACCCAGCAUUCACAAAAAAGAGAGGUCCCAUAAAGAGAAGAUCCUGGAGCAAACAGGAAGUACAUGCUGUGGUGAAAGCUGAACCAUUGGCUCUAAAAACCAGAGAUUGGUCAGCUUUGGAUUUUUAUAUUAAAAACUGAAUCUCGGCUCUUUAGAUAAAAAAUCUGAAUAACACUUUUAUAACUCAAAGGAAGAUAACUUAGAUGAAGUGCAAGAACUCCUCAUCCUCCAUAGACAGCAAGGGAUUGAAACAAUUUGAAGGAGAGGAAUUAAUAAAAGAAUCUUCAUUUUGAGGUGAACUAACCGUUUAAUAUUAUUUGCUAUUGCACUUAACUAAAUGUGCACGCAGACAUGGAAGAGUUAUGUGGAAGCUUGUUAUACCCAAUGAGAACUGCUUUUAGACAAGCAAGAGAGUUUCAUGGAUUUUGUGUUUACUGCUUUUUUUUGUGUUUAAAGGUUUUGUGGAAAUUAUUUAUAAUAAAUAUAACAUUUAUUAAAUCUA
This is a non-coding RNA of Danio rerio (zebrafish), 885 nucleotides long. The record is from RefSeq and is a predicted model, not a curated record. Lineage: Eukaryota; Metazoa; Chordata; Actinopteri; Cypriniformes; Danionidae.